RNAcentral lists this ribosomal RNA (457 nucleotides) under uncultured bacterium. RNAcentral's name for it is "SSU rRNA". It matches the Rfam family "Bacterial small subunit ribosomal RNA", at positions 26 to 518 of the family's 1533-position model. The record is from RNAcentral.
AGAAUCAACGCUGGCGGCGUGCCUAACACAUGCAAGUCGAACGAGAAAGGGUAGCAAUACCUGAGUAAAGUGGCGCACGGGUGAGUAACACGUGACUAACCUACCUUUUAGUGGGGGAUAACCUAGGGAAACCUGAGCUAAUACCGCAUAAUACCUACGGGUCAAAGCAGCAAUACGCUGGAAGAGGGGGUCGCGGUCGAUUAGUUAGUUGGCAGGGUAAUGGCCUACCAAGACAGUGAUCGAUAUCCGGCCUGAGAGGGCGCACGGACACACUGGAACUGAAACACGGUCCAGACUCCUACGGGAGGCAGCAGUGGGAAUUUGCGCAAUGGGGGAAACCCUGACGCAGCAACGCCGCGUGGAGGAUGAAGUCCCUUGGGACGUAAACUCCUUUCGAUCGGGACGAUAAUGACGGUACCGGAAGAAGAAGCCCCGGCUAACUUCGCGCCAGCACCGC